RNAcentral lists this ribosomal RNA (254 nucleotides) under uncultured bacterium. RNAcentral's name for it is "partial 16S ribosomal RNA". It matches the Rfam family "Bacterial small subunit ribosomal RNA", at positions 524 to 776 of the family's 1533-position model. The record is from RNAcentral.
CACGUAGGCACCAAGCGUUGUCCGGAUUUAUUGGGCGUAAAGAGCUCGUAGGCGGUUCAGUAAGUCGGGUGUGAAAACUCUGGGCUUAACCCAGAGCCGCCACCCGAUACUGCUGUGACUAGAGUUCGGUAGGGGAGCAGGGAAUUCCUAGUGUAGCGGUGAAAUGCGCAGAUAUUAGGAGGAACACCGGUGGCGAAGGCGCUGCUCUGGGCCGAUACUGACGCUGAGGAGCGAAAGUGUGGGGAGCGAACAGG